UACGUAGGGUGCGAGCGUUAAUCGGAUUUACUGGGCGUAAAGCGUGCGCAGGCGGCCCGUUAAGACAGGUGUGAAAUCCCUGGGCUCAACCUAGGAAUUGCGCUUGUGACUGGCGGGCUUGAGUAAGGUAGAGGGGGGUGGAAUUCCUGGUGUAGCGGUGAAAUGCGUAGAGAUCAGGAGGAACACCGAUGGCGAAGGCAGCCCCCUGGGGCUGUACUGACGCUCAUGCACGAAAGCGUGGGGAGCAAACGGG
Molecule: ribosomal RNA, 253 nt
Filed under: uncultured microorganism
Description: partial 16S ribosomal RNA
Rfam family: Bacterial small subunit ribosomal RNA
Source: RNAcentral